GCUUAAAGAGGGGUUAAUGUCCUAUCAGCUAGUUGGUGGGGUAAUGGCCUACCAAGGCAAAGACGGGUAGCCGGCUUGAGAGGGUGGUCGGCCACACUGGGACUGAGACACUGCCCAGACUCCUACGGGAGGCUGCAGUCGAGAAUCUUUCGCAAUGCCCGAAAGGGUGACGAAGCGACGCCGCGUGUGGGAAGAAGGCCUUCGGGUUGUAAACCACUGUCGGGAGUUAGGAAAUGCAAGAGCGUUAAUAGCGCACUUGCUUGACUAAGGCUCCAGAGGAAGCCACGGCUAACUCUGUGCCAGCAGCCGCGGUAAUACAGAGGCGGCAAGCGUUGUUCGGAAUUAUUGGGCGUAAAGAGCACGUAGGCGGCCUUGCAAGUCAGUUGUGGAAGCCUUCCGCUUAACGGAAGAACGGCAUCUGAUACUACAGGGCUUGAGUACGGGAGGG
Molecule: ribosomal RNA, 448 nt
Filed under: uncultured Planctomycetota bacterium
Lineage: Bacteria; Pseudomonadati; Planctomycetota
Description: bacterial SSU rRNA
Rfam family: Bacterial small subunit ribosomal RNA
Source: RNAcentral